CAGCCGCCGCGGUAAUACCGGCGGCCCGAGUGGCGGCCACUAUUAUUGGGCCUAAAGCGUCCGUAGCCGGGCUGGUAAGUCCCCCGGGAAAUCUGGCGGCUUAACCGUCAGAAUUCCGGGGGAUACUGCCAGCCUAGGGACCGGGAGAGGCCGAGGGUAUUCCCGGGGUAGGGGUGAAAUCCUGUAAUCCCGGGAGGACCACCUGUGGCGAAGGCGCUCGGCUGGAACGGGUCCGACGGUGAGGGACGAAGGCCAGGGGAGCGAACCGGAUUAGAUACCCGGGUAGUCCUGGCUGUAAACGAUGCGGACGAGGUGUCGGGCAAGCUAAGGGCUUGUCCGGUGCCGCAGGGAAGCCGUUAAGUCCGCCGCCUGGGGAGUACGGCCGCAAGGCUGAAACUUAAAGGAAUUGGCGGG
Molecule: ribosomal RNA, 414 nt
Filed under: uncultured microorganism
Description: bacterial SSU rRNA
Rfam family: Archaeal small subunit ribosomal RNA
Source: RNAcentral